UACGUAGGGUGCGAGCGUUAAUCGGAAUUACUGGGCGUAAAGCGUGCGCAGGCGGUUUUGUAAGCCAGAUGUGAAAUCCCCGGGCUUAACCUGGGAAUGGCAUUUGGGACUGCAAGGCUUGAGUGCGGCAGAGGAGACUGGAAUUCCUGGUGUAGCAGUGAAAUGCGUAGAUAUCAGGAGGAACACCGAUGGCGAAGGCAGGUCUCUGGGCUGACACUGACGCUCAUGCACGAAAGCGUGGGGAGCAAA
This 249-nucleotide ribosomal RNA is filed under the name uncultured bacterium. RNAcentral describes it as "partial 16S ribosomal RNA". It matches the Rfam family "Bacterial small subunit ribosomal RNA", at positions 524 to 772 of the family's 1533-position model. The record is from RNAcentral.